UGGAAGUGGUUAUGUAACACUUUGGUGCUUUAAUUUGUAUGCCCUGUCAGACAUAACAAAAAAAUAAAUAAAUACUUUAAAUGGGUGACAGCCUAAUCUUUUAUUUUUGUUUUUUUUCAUUGGAUUGUGUUUUUAAUAUUAAAAAACCUCAACAAGAAAAACAUUAGCGAUUUUAUUAACCUAUUAUAUUUAAAACAAGAAAAACAUUAGUUUCAAGAAUUUAAAGUGUCUAACCUCUUAUAUUUUGGUGAAACAUUGCCUAAAAUUAAUGUUUCGUAACAAAGAAGAGACUAAACAUCUGUGCUGACUGAGUCAUAGGUGUAGUUUUAAUUGGCAAACUCAGGUUGUUGAUCUGGUUACUUUAUGUUGCAGCAAUCAUACUUCUGUUUCUUUUCUGUCUUGAAAGUAGUAAUUCAUCUUUUAUAGACUAACUGAAACAUAUCCCAGGGAACCUUCUGUGUAGCAUCAUGGCAAGGAAUAGAAGUUGCUGUGAAAAAACUUGGGGAGGAAGUGACUGCCGAUGAGGAUAAAAUGAGGGCUUUCAGUGAUGAGCUUGAAUUGCUUCAGAAGAUACGACAUCCAAAUGUAGUCCAAUUUCUGGGUACUGUAACAUAAAGUACCCCAAUGAUGAUUGUGACAGAAUAUUUACCCAAGGUCUUUCUCAAUUUUUUGAGUACUUACUUCUUAUUAAGUGGCACUUGAUAGUCUUCAACUUUUUGCUGAUUUCCAGCUUAUUAGAUUGCAGAUUUAAUAUUCUUUAUUGUUUAUGGCGCAGUAGUACUUCUUCUCGUCCUAGCUAUUUAUCCUUGUAAUUGCAGUUAGUGUUGUUUUUGCUAUUUCCAAUUCUUUCUUACCCUUUGCUGAAUUUGACCUUUUCUUAAUGCUUGUGUUUCAAAUAUAUAUUCAAUCUUUGAACUUCAAUUUUUAUGGUGGUUUGUGUCAACAGAAGGUGAAUUCUUUUGAUAUGUCUUCCAUCUCAGAAUCGGACUGCUAUUUACACUGAGCAAUGCUUUUUAUAUCUUUUAACAUGUCAUUUAAUGCUAUAUAUGGAUGUGAAGAUUCCAUCUAGCAAGUGCUUCUCGUUUUGAUUUUUUCAAGAUCUUGAGCUUAAUUCUCAUUAGAAUGAGCUUACUUCUCAGAAGAGUUGGGCCCCCUCUUCUUUCCAAAGCCAACAACUACAAACAACUGUGAGAAUAUAUUGUAUAUUAGGAAUUAGUGUAAAUAUUAGGAAUUGGUUAUAGAUUUAGGAAUUAUAUUGUAUAUUAAGAAUUAGGAAUUAGUGUAUAUUAGGAAUUAGGAAUUAGUGUAAAAAUUAGUGUAAAUAUUACUUCUCAUAAUUGGUUAUAUUAGGAAUUAGUGUAAAUAGCAAUCUUUGUAUUUCCUUUUUCAGUAAUAGAUUUAGGGCUAAUUCCUAAUAUAACCAAUCAUGCCAUAUAUACAAAGAUUCCUAAUAUAACCAAUUAUGCUAUAUAUACAAUAUAUUCUCACAACGCCAAGUACACAAGUCAUCAACAAAUUAUAACACUGAUUGUUGCUGAGAAAAAAAGAGUUGAACUGAGAAUUAAAAUUCAAUCUCAGAUUUUCAGCAUUUUGGGUUUUAGAUUACAAAGUUCCACCCCUCUCUCUCUCUCUCUCUCUUUCUGUCUCUCCAUGAAGCCCUCAAAUUCAAACCCAUCACACAAUCACUAGAGGUUCGGGACAUCAUUGAUGCGGAAGCUCAAGAGGUGCUUUUCAUGUUACAAGCCGACAGAGCCAAGAAGCAAAGAAAAAUACAAGGGGAAGAUGUCGUGUAACUUGUCGGAGAAAACUAGCUGCGGUGAUGGUGGGUAUAGCGAAAUGAUUCAAAAUGCCAUCAGCUACUGCAAGGAUUCGCUGAUCAAGGGCGACGCAAAAGCAAAUGAGACUCCUAUUGAAGAGCUGGAGACUGAAGCCAAGGUUCUCGAUAUACCAAGCCCAUGCUCCAUGGAUAUUGAUUCUCAAACUAAUAAUCAGUUACCACAAGUGAUCAGUAAGUGCACCCACUGAUCAGUUUGUCCCUUAUAAUUAGUUUUUCUGCUGCUCUUUCUACAUCUUUUAUGACCAUA
Camellia sinensis is the source of this 2084-nucleotide non-coding RNA. The record is from RefSeq and is a predicted model, not a curated record. Lineage: Eukaryota; Viridiplantae; Streptophyta; Magnoliopsida; Ericales; Theaceae.